AGGGCUUGACAUGUGGGUGAAAGGUAUAGAGAUAUACCCCUCUCUUUAUGAGACAUCCAUACAGGUGGUGCAUGGUUGUCGUCAGCUCGUGUCGUGAGAUGUUGGGUUAAGUCCCGCAACGAGCGCAACCCCUAUACUUAGUUACCAGCGAGUGAUGUCGGGGACUCUAAGUAGACUGCCGAUGACAAAUCGGAGGAAGGUGGGGAUGACGUCAAAUCAUCAUGCCCUUUA
This 231-nucleotide ribosomal RNA is filed under the name uncultured bacterium. RNAcentral's name for it is "partial 16S ribosomal RNA". It matches the Rfam family "Bacterial small subunit ribosomal RNA", at positions 977 to 1204 of the family's 1533-position model. The record is from RNAcentral.